RNAcentral lists this long non-coding RNA (578 nucleotides) under Nilaparvata lugens (brown planthopper). RNAcentral's name for it is "uncharacterized LOC120350109, transcript variant X4". The record is from RNAcentral. Lineage: Eukaryota; Metazoa; Arthropoda; Insecta; Hemiptera; Delphacidae.
CAAUAAUUCUCAUCCUGAGUGCCAAACUGAUCAACUGCAUCCUAAUGGAACGUUCAAGAUGUGAUUCAGUAACUGAUACGGUUGUUGCAAUAAUUAUUUUUGACCAAAUUGAAUCCACAAAAUAAUUGAAGAAAUGGUUUCAGAUGAUUACGAACAAGCGCAGCUAUCUUUGGAGAGGUAAUGCACCUACUGAUAUCCCGUGAUAAGAACUUGGGAGAGAUUUAGUGAAAACCUGGAGAACGGCCACUUAGCUCACAAAUCUGAGCUGUUCACAUCAAGCUGAUAUUUGUGACAGCCAUUAUAGCUUUAAUCAUUUUCUCGAUUGAUCAAAGCACCACAGACUGCAUCGUUCGUCACCUCUGCCUUUAAGCGCGUUAUCACCUACUCCAAUAAGCCACCCCAAUAUCCUUAAUAAGCAAUAGAAGUUCUUAUCGACUGUGUAUGACUCAUUAAUAUCCAUGUUCUGUAUAAAUUUAUGUGAUAGGCCUACUGGUAUUAAUGUUGAUGUACCGUAAUGUUUUUUGCUCAUGUAUAAUUGAUAAUAAUACAUUAAAAAUAAAUAUAAUGUUAAAUUAUUA